CCUACGGGAGGCAGCAGUCGAGAAUCAUUCACAAUGGGGGAAACCCUGAUGGUGCGACGCCGCGUGGGGGAAUGAAGGUCUUCGGAUUGUAAACCCCUGUCAUGUGGGAGCAAAUUAAAAAGAUAGAACAACAAUAUGAAGAGACGGCUAACUCGGUGCGAGCCGCCGCGGUAAUACAGAGGUCUCAAGCGUUGUUCGGAAUCACUGGGCGUAAAGCGUGCGUAGGCUGUUUCGUAAGUCGUGUGUGAAAGUCGCGGGCUGAACGCGCGGACGGCACAUGAUACUGCAAGACUAGAGUAAUGGAGGGGGAAGCGGAAUUCUCGGUGUAGGAGUGAAAUGCGUAGAUAUCGAGAGGAACACUCGGGGCGAAGGCGGGUACCUGGACAUUAACUGACGCUGAGGCGCGAAGGCCAGGGGAGCGAAAGGGAUUAGAUACCCCAGUAGUC
RNAcentral lists this ribosomal RNA (446 nucleotides) under uncultured bacterium. RNAcentral's name for it is "partial 16S ribosomal RNA". It matches the Rfam family "Bacterial small subunit ribosomal RNA", at positions 338 to 795 of the family's 1533-position model. The record is from RNAcentral.